AGGAUGAACGCUGGCGGUGUGCCUAAUACAUGCAAGUCGAACGGGAUCUUCGGAUCUAGUGGCGAACGGGUGAGUAACACGUUGGUACCUACCCCUAAGUGGGGAAUAACUGCCCGAAAGGGUGGCUAAUACCGCAUAAUCCCGCAAGGGUAAAGCAGUAAUGCGCUUAGGGAGGGGCCUGCGUCUGAUUAGCUAGUUGGUAGGGUAAAAGCCUACCAAGGCGACGAUCAGUAGCUGGAUCGAGAGGUUGACCAGCCACACUGGGACUGAGAUACGGCCCAGACUCCUACGGGAGGCAGCAGUAAGGAAUCUUCCACAAUGGACGAAAGUCUGAUGGAGCAACACCGCGUGCAGGAUGACGGCCUUGGGUUGUAAACUGCUUUUAUAGUGGAAGAUUAUGACGGUACCAUAUGAAUAAGGACCGGCUAACUACGUGCCAGCAGCCGC
RNAcentral lists this ribosomal RNA (447 nucleotides) under uncultured bacterium. RNAcentral's name for it is "SSU rRNA". It matches the Rfam family "Bacterial small subunit ribosomal RNA", at positions 26 to 518 of the family's 1533-position model. The record is from RNAcentral.